AGUGUGGAAACGCCCGCUGAGGGGCACACAGUGAGGUGGCCACUGGCUCUGUGUCCUUGGGGAAGCCCCUUCUGCGGUCCCCUCCACUGUCUGCGUGACCAAGUGGACGUAGAACUCCCCCAUCUGCUGCUGUCCAGGGCGGGUGAGGACCCUACACACACACGGUGUGUUUGUGAGCUGUGCAGAGUGGGGUCUCCCUGGCAAUGGCCACAGCCUCCAGGGGCGCUGACACCUCCCGUCUAACUAGUAGACAGUUUCUGCCUCUUCCUGUUUGGGGAUUGGAGAGGAAGUGCGUCUGGAUGACUACUAAGGUGACAGGAACUCCAUUCGCACCAGCUUACAUUAAAAAAAGAGGAGGGAGAAUAUGGUCGAGUGACCGCAGGAGCGAUGGGGAGCGCAGACAGAGUUUCUCCCUGCUCUGGAUAGCAGAUCCGCUGGCUCCUAGCUUAUGAUCCAUGAAGAGAACGCCUUCCCCUUGGGCUUCAAUUUGAAGAAUCCUGAAGAGGACCCUGAUGGCCUCUCGUGGUCCGCGUGCCCCUUCUUGCACAACCGUGAUG
RNAcentral lists this long non-coding RNA (557 nucleotides) under Pongo abelii (Sumatran orangutan). RNAcentral describes it as "lincRNA". Lineage: Eukaryota; Metazoa; Chordata; Mammalia; Primates; Hominidae. The record is from RNAcentral.